GUCCACACCGUAAACGAUGUAUACUUGAUGUAAAUCGGCUCAACCCGGUUUGUAUCGUAGCUAACGCGAUAAGUAUACCGCCUGGGAAGUACACUCGCAAGGGUGAAACUCAAAAGAAUUGACGGGGGCUCGCACAAGCGGUGGAGCAUGUGGUUUAAUUCGAUGGUACGCGAAGAACCUUACCUAGACUUGACAUGUAGUAGACAGGUACAGAAAUGUACUCUUCCGAAAGGACUGCUACACAGGUGCUGCAUGGCUGUCGU
This 263-nucleotide ribosomal RNA is filed under the name uncultured bacterium. RNAcentral's name for it is "partial 16S ribosomal RNA". It matches the Rfam family "Bacterial small subunit ribosomal RNA", at positions 793 to 1055 of the family's 1533-position model. The record is from RNAcentral.